RNAcentral lists this ribosomal RNA (253 nucleotides) under uncultured bacterium. Its description in RNAcentral is "partial 16S ribosomal RNA". It matches the Rfam family "Bacterial small subunit ribosomal RNA", at positions 524 to 776 of the family's 1533-position model. The record is from RNAcentral.
UACGGAGGGUGCAAGCGUUGCUCGGAAUUAUUGGGCGUAAAGGGUAGGUAGGUGGUCUCAUUUGUCUUGUGUGAAAGCCUUGGGCUUAACUCAAGAAGUGCGCAAGAAACGGUGAGACUCGAGUACUGGAGAGGGUCGUGGAAUUCCCGGUGUAGCGGUGAAAUGCGUAGAGAUCGGGAGGAACACCAGAGGCGAAGGCGGCGACCUGGACAGUUACUGACACUCAACGACGAAAGCGUGGGGAGCAAACAGG